Molecule: ribosomal RNA, 463 nt
Filed under: uncultured bacterium
Lineage: Bacteria
Description: bacterial SSU rRNA
Rfam family: Bacterial small subunit ribosomal RNA
Source: RNAcentral
GUUUGAUCCUGGCUCAGAUUGAACGCUGGCGGCAUGCCUUACACAUGCAAGUCGAACGGUAACAGGUCUUCGGAUGCUGACGAGUGGCGAACGGGUGAGUAAUACAUCGGAACGUGCCCGAGAGUGGGGGAUAACGAGGCGAAAGCUUUGCUAAUACCGCAUACGAUCUCAGGAUGAAAGCAGGGGACCGCAAGGCCUUGCGCUCACGGAGCGGCCGAUGGCAGAUUAGGUAGUUGGUGGGAUAAAAGCUUACCAAGCCGACGAUCUGUAGCUGGUCUGAGAGGACGACCAGCCACACUGGGACUGAGACACGGCCCAGACUCCUACGGGAGGCAGCAGUGGGGAAUUUUGGACAAUGGGCGCAAGCCUGAUCCAGCCAUGCCGCGUGCAGGAUGAAGGCCUUCGGGUUGUAAACUGUUUUUGUACGGAACGAAAAGACUCUGGUUAAUACCUGGGGUCCAUG